AGCUGGGACUGAGGACCAACUGUUGAUUAUGGGAGGAGCUGGGACUGAGGACCAACUAUUGAUUAUGGGAGGAGCUGGGACUGAGGACCAAUUGUUGAUUAUGGGAGGAGCUGGGACUGAGGACCAACUGUUGAUUAUGGGAGGAGCUGGGACUGAGGACCAAUUGUUGAUUAUGGGAGGAGCUGGGACUGAGGACCAAUUGUUGAUUAUGGGAGGAGCUGGGACUGAGGACCAAUUGUUGAUUAUGGGAGGAGCUGGGACUGAGGACCAACUGUUGAUUAUGGGAGGAGCUGGGACUGAGGACCAAUUGUUGAUUAUGGGAGGAGCUGGGACUGAGGACCAACUGUUGAUUAUGGGAGGAGCUGGGACUGAGGACCAACUGUUGAUUAUGGGAGGAGCUGGGACUGAGGACCAACUGUUGAUUAUGGGAGGAGCUGGGACUGAGGACCAACUGUUGACUACUGGAGGAGCUGAUGACUUCACAAGGUGUUAAUGACUAGACUAUAUAACACAGUGGUAUGAGGAGGUGUUAAUGACUAGACUAUAUAACACAGUGGUAUGAGGAGGUGUUAAUGACUAGACUAUAUAACACAGUGGUAUGAGGAGGUGUUAAUGACUAGACUAUAUAACACAGUGGUAUGAGGAGGUGUUAAUGACUAGACUAUAUAACACAGUGGUAUGAGGAGGUGUUAAUGACUAGACUAUAUAACACAGUGGUAUGAGGAGGUGUUAAUGACUAGACUAUAUAACACAGUGGUAUGAGGAGGUGUUAAUGACUAGACUAUAUAACACAGUGGUAUGAGGAGGUGUUAAUGACUAGACUAUAUAACACAGUGGUAUGAGGAGGUGUUAAUGACUAGACUAUAUAACACAGUGGUAUGAGGAGGUGUUAAUGACUAGACUAUAUAACACAGUGGUAUGAGGAGGUGUUAAUGACUAGACUAUAUAACACAGUGGUAUGAGGAGGUGUUAAUGACUAGACUAUAUAACACAGUGGUAUGAGGAGGUGUUAAUGACUAGACUAUAUAACACAGUGGUAUGAGGAGGUGUUAAUGACUAGACUAUAUAACACAGUGGUAUGAGGAGGUGUUAAUGACUAGACUAUAUAACACAGUGGUAUGAGGAGGUGUUAAUGACUAGACUAUAUAACACAGUGGUAUGAGGAGGUGUUAAUGACUAGACUAUAUAACACAGUGGUAUGAGGAGGUGUUAAUGACUAGACUAUAUAACACAGUGGUAUGAGGAGGUGUUAAUGACUAGACUAUAUAACACAGUGGUAUAAGGAGGAGCACUCUAAGCAGAUCUCGAAGACACCAGGGCCCUUUACUCAUUAAGCGUCUCGGAGUAUUAGUAAUGAUUUAGGAUCAGUGCUGCAUUUUAGUUCCUAAUGAAUAAUAUGACAUGGACACGGGCAACCUGAUCCUAGAUCAGCACUGCUACCCUGAGACAGGAGGCUUAUUGCCUCUAUUGACACUGUGGUAUGAGGAGGCCCAAGUCCUGAGGAGACGUUAAGCUUGAGGCCUUGGAUCCUGGCCUAACUGACGGGCCGCCCCCAGGUGGUGAAGGUAGGAAACAACACCUGCACUUCACUGAUCCUCAACACUGGGGCUGGUGUUGGGCUAUAUCACCGCCUGGUACGGCCACUGCGCCGCCCACAACAGAAGGGCUAUCCAGAGGGUGGUGCGGUCUGCACAAUGCAUCACCAGGGGGCAAAUUACCUGCUCUCCAUGACACCUACAGCACCCGAUGUCACAGGAAGGCCAUUCCCUACCCCAGGCAUUGUCCCAUUCAGUGGGAUGACUGGCUGUCUGUUUGCUCCUAUCCCUCUCCCAGACAUAGUCUCCAACAGGUCAAUCAUACUGGAGGUCAGGGGUCUCCAACAGGUCAAUCAUACUCGAGGUCAGGGGUCUCCAACAGGUCAAACAUAGUAGAGGUCAGGGGUCACCAACAGGUCAAACAUAGUGGAGGUCAGGGGUCUCCAACAGGUCAAACAUAGUGGAGGUCAGGGGUCUCCAACAGGUCAAACAUACUGGAGGUCAGGGGUCACCAACAGGUCAAACAUAGUAGAGGUCAGGGGUCUCCAACAGGUCAAACAUAGUAGAGGUCAGGGGUCUCCAACAGGUCAAUCAUAGUAGAGGUCAGGGGUCUCCAACAGGUCAAACAUAGUUGAGGUCAGGGGUCUCCAACAGGUCAAACAUAGUAGAGGUCAGGGGUCUCCAACAGGUCAAACAUAGUAGAGGUCAGGGGUCUCCAACAGGUCAAACAUAGUUGAGGUCAGGGGUCUCCAACAGGUCAAACAUAGUGGAGAUCAGGGGUCUCCAACAGGUCAAACAUAGUGGAGGUCAGGGGUCUCCAACAGGUCAAACAUAGUGGAGGUCAGGGGUCUCCAACAGGUCAAACAUAGUGGAGGUCAGGGGUCUCCAACAGGUCAAACAUAGUGGAGGUCAGGGGUCUCCAACAGGUCAAACAUAGUGGAGGUCAGGGGUCUCCAACAGGUCAAACAUAGUGGAGGUCAGGGGUCUCCAACAGGUCUCCAACAGGUCAAACAUACUGGAGGUCAGGGGUCUCCAACAGGUCAAACAUACUGGAGGUCGGGGUCUCCAACAGGUCAAACAUACUGGAGGUCGGGGGUCUCCAACAGGUCAAUCAUAGUAGAGGUCAGGGGUCUCCAACAGGUCAAACAUAGUAGAGGUCAGGGUUCUCCAACAGGUCAAACAUACUGGAGGUCAGGGGUCUCCAACAGGUCAAUCAUUGUAGAGGUCAGGGGUCUCCAACAGGUCAAACAUACUGGAGGUCAGGGGUCUCCAACAGGUCAAUCAUUGUAGAGGUCAGGAGUCUCCAACAGGUCAGGUUGGAGACCCCCUGGUGUAGGUUGGAGACCCCUGGUGUAGGUUGGAGACCCCUGGUGUCAUAUUAAAUAAAUGUUU
Molecule: long non-coding RNA, 2927 nt
Organism: Oncorhynchus keta (chum salmon)
Lineage: Eukaryota; Metazoa; Chordata; Actinopteri; Salmoniformes; Salmonidae
Exons: 5
Source: RefSeq, a predicted model, not a curated record